UGUGCAGAAUGGUAUGAACGGAUGAAGUUUACACCGGCCGCUAUUGAUAAGGCUAAGGUCGGUGGGACUUUUCGUCCGUUUCGACUGUUCGAGAGAAUCAU
This 101-nucleotide microRNA precursor is filed under the name Belgica antarctica. RNAcentral describes it as "microRNA mir-278". Lineage: Eukaryota; Metazoa; Arthropoda; Insecta; Diptera; Chironomidae. The record is from RNAcentral.